Molecule: ribosomal RNA, 369 nt
Filed under: Babesia canis
Lineage: Eukaryota; Apicomplexa; Aconoidasida; Piroplasmida; Babesiidae
Description: SSU rRNA
Rfam family: Eukaryotic small subunit ribosomal RNA
Source: RNAcentral
GGGAGGUAGUGACAAGAAAUAACAAUACAGGGCUAAUGUCUUGUAAUUGGAAUGAUGGUGACCCAAACCCUCACCAGAGUAGCAAUUGGAGGGCAAGUCUGGUGCCAGCAGCCGCGGUAAUUCCAGCUCCAAUAGCGUAUAUUAAACUUGUUGCAGUUAAAAAGCUCGUAGUUGAAUUUUAGCGUGUUCGAGUUUGCCAUUCGUUUGGCUUUUUCGAGUUCGCUUUUGGGUUUUCCCUUUUUACUUUGAGAAAAUUAGAGUGUUUCAAGCAGACUUUUGUCUUGAAUACUUCAGCAUGGAAUAAUAGAGUAGGACUUUGGUUCUAUUUUGUUGGUUAUUGAACCUUAGUAAUGGUUAAUAGGAACGGUU